This 72-nucleotide transfer RNA is filed under the name Gnomoniopsis sp. IMI 355080. RNAcentral describes it as "tRNA-Asp". It matches the Rfam family "tRNA". Rfam says of the family: Transfer RNA (tRNA) molecules are approximately 80 nucleotides in length. Their secondary structure includes four short double-helical elements and three loops (D, anti-codon, and T loops). Lineage: Eukaryota; Fungi; Ascomycota; Sordariomycetes; Diaporthales; Gnomoniaceae. The record is from RNAcentral.
UUCUCCAUAGUCUAGUGGUUAGGAUACAAGCUUGUCACGCUUGGGACCCGGGUUCAAUUCCCGGUGGGGAAG